UGUCCGGAUUUACUGGGUGUAAAGGGCGCGUAGGCGGACUGUCAAGUCAGUCGUGAAAUACCGGGGCUUAACCCCGGGGCUGCGAUUGAAACUGACAGCCUUGAGUAUCGGAGAGGAAAGCGGAAUUCCUAGUGUAGCGGUGAAAUGCGUAGAUAUUAGGAGGAACACCAGUGGCGAAGGCGGCUUUCUGGACGACAACUGACGCUGAGGCGCGAAAGUGUGGGGAGCAAACAGGAUUAGAUACCCUGGUAGUCCACACCGUAAACGAUGGAUACUAGGUGUAGGAGGUAUCGACCCCUUCUGUGCCGCAGUUAACACAAUAAGUAUCCCACCUGGGGAGUACGACCGCAAGGUUGAACCUCCAGGA
RNAcentral lists this ribosomal RNA (367 nucleotides) under uncultured bacterium. RNAcentral describes it as "bacterial SSU rRNA". It matches the Rfam family "Bacterial small subunit ribosomal RNA", at positions 542 to 907 of the family's 1533-position model. The record is from RNAcentral.